This 340-nucleotide ribosomal RNA is filed under the name uncultured bacterium. RNAcentral's name for it is "bacterial SSU rRNA". It matches the Rfam family "Bacterial small subunit ribosomal RNA", at positions 958 to 1299 of the family's 1533-position model. The record is from RNAcentral.
AACGCGAAGAACCUUACCUGGCCUUGACAUGUCCGGAAUCCUGCAGAGAUGCGGGAGUGCCUUCGGGAAUCAGAACACAGGUGCUGCAUGGCUGUCGUCAGCUCGUGUCGUGAGAUGUUGGGUUAAGUCCCGCAACGAGCGCAACCCUUAUCAUCAGUUGCCAUCAUUAAGUUGGGCACUCUGAUGAAACUGCCGGUGUCAAACCGGAGGAAGGUGGGGAUGACGUCAAGUCCUCAUGGCCCUUAUGUCCAGGGCUACACACGUGCUACAAUGGCCGGUACAAAGAGUCGCAAUGCCGCGAGGUGGAGCUAAUCCCAGAAAACCGAUCGUAGUCCGGAUC